UGACUAAUGAUUAACAUUUGAAAAUGGAACAUGAUAGGAAAAUACCACCAAUCACGGCAAAACCGUCUGUCAAAAGAGCAGAGGGCAACAACAACAAAAACGCUAUUCAAAGAAUAUCCUCUUCCAAGAUGAGAAUGUGCCAUUCAGAAGACGUCUUCAGGGCUCAACACAAAGAAUGGGCACUAUCAUGGCAGAAGAGGAUCCCUUUCCCUCAUCUGGUGCUUCUGAGAGAAGCCAUCAAGUUGCUGGAGCUGAAAAUAUUCGCAAAUUCCAGGAGAGUGUUUCCAAAGGAGUACCACGCAUUCCCCUUUGCGAUUGUAAUAAAAUGCUUGGGUGCUGCCAGGGGAAUUGCCAUCCCCCAAGCCAGUCCUUGGAGGUCCCCCAAGGGAGGACCACCCUUCUAACCAGAACUUUCCCAGCAUGGAGCCUAUCAGCAUUUUCAUCAACUAGAGAACUGGUGUUCCUUUAAGCCGAAUCACAGAGAUUAAUGUUUCAAUUUGCAGCUGCUUAAUGGUGUUCUGUGGAGCCUCUCCCUUCUGUCAUUUGCCCCCCGGUUGGCCUGAGGAUUUGUAGUUAAUGCGGCAGCUAGGGAAGCCUUUCAUUUCCCCUUGACUGGGUGUGUUAAAACGCUGAUCUGUUUCUCGAUCAGGUCUCUAUGUCUUAAUCUCAGUCUUGCCCUGAUGGAAUGUUCCCCUUCAUGCUUUACCAAAGCCAGGUAUUGAAUAUCUAGAAACCGAUAGCUUUGGCAAAUGCCCUGCUUGCUUCUUCCAAGAAACCAGUCCCUAAGGGGGUAGAUAUCUAAAGUAAGCUUAGAACAAGAACAUGCUUACCCCUGCUUACCAAUAUGAUUGCUAUCUUUUGCAGUACUGAUAGCUCCGUUUGCACCUUUGCUAGGGACAUAAGAUUAGACAAGAAAUGGUUUUGUUUUGCUUGUUAGUUUCUCCCGAAGCCUCCUUCCCCACCUCCCCAACCCAUCACUUUACACUUCUGUUCACUCUCUGUGCACUCUGUUUACUGAGACUCCUUUCAUACGUUUUGUCUUUUUCAGUAAAACCUUUUUUCAGUGACAUAAUUAUAUGUUUUUAUCUGAGUCUACCAAACGGAAUCCAGAAAAUCCAGUACAAAGAGCCUGGAAGUCUGCUCCCUAAGUGCUGGCCUUCUUGCCCAGUGACCUAGCCCACAGAACCAAGACAUCUUUGCUUAGGGCCUGCCCCUGUCCCUGAAGCUCCCUCAUAUGAGGGAAAGCUAACUGACUCUGGAGUCUCCUCACAGCCAUUUGCUGCAUUGGAAGAGGGUGGGAUUCUCCAACUAGGCAGGGGGACCAAACAGAAUGCUCCCAGCCAGGGACUUCCCACCACUUCUGCUGAGAGAUUUCAGCUGGCGUCGCUCAGAGGGGCUGGAACAAUUUGGCUGUCCACAAUUUUCGUAUUCUUUUUGGUGAAUAUUGGUUGUCUCCAGGGAUUUGAGAUGGUGAAGGCAAUAGGACUCCUCCCUCACACCUCAUUCCUAGAGCCUAUAUGUUAGGCUAUGGUUUGCAUAUUUGUCCCCUGUAAAACUUACGUUAAAAUUUAAUCCCCAAUGUGACAAUAUUAAGAAGCAGGGCCUUAAGAGGUGAUUGGGUCAUGAGGGCCCUGCCUUUAUGAGUGGAUGAAUCCAUUCAUGGAUUCAUGGGUAAAUAGCUUAUCAUGGGAGUGGGACUGGUAGCUUUGUAAGAAGAGGAAGAGAAACCUGAACAAAGAUGCUCAGCCCCCUCACUAUGUGAUACCCUGCACCACCUCAGGACUCUGCAGAGAGUCCCCACCAGCAAGAAGGCUCUCACCAGGUGUCCCUCCUUGACCUUGGACUUCCCAGCCUCCAGAACAGUAAGAAAUAAAUUUCAUUCCUUAUAAAUUACACAGUUUCAAGGUAUUCUGUUAUAAACAACAGAAAAUGGACCUAGAGACAAUUCUCCAUGAUGCCCUCACUUUCUGCAUGUCUUGUUAGCAAGACAUUGACUACCUUUGUUCUGGACUACCUUUUCAAAAAUGUUUGUAUAGUGAAUAAUCUUGGAAGACAGAGUGUCUCUCUCCAGAGUUUGCUUCCCAUUAUAAGAUAUAUAAGAUCCCGUUUCCCUCAAUGAAGGGGUCAUCUCCUGUAACAUAAUCCACUCCAUGUAUUGGUGUCACCUGGCCUUCCCAUCACACUUUGGGGAUUGAGGCUCGAGGAACUGGGACAAAAAUGCUAAUACUCUGGCUACUGCUUUUGCUGUGAGGGAUAAACUGUCCUUCAUCUCUGACCGAAGAGUCUCAUGUCUUCUACCAACAUCCAUGAAACUAUGGCAGACCACCUUGUUAACUUGUAAGUAGGGCUAAGUCUCAGACCAUUCACAGUUCUUGACAAUAUAUUAUAAUAACAACAAGUAUCAAGCAACCUUUCAGCACACAUGUAAACAUUUAUUAACAAACAGGCCAAAAAAGUCAUGUAAUCUGUUCUUUUAAUGGGUGAGGUCCUGCUUCUCUGUCCUUUAAGCAUGUCAGCAAACACUUUCCAUGAAAAGUUUACCUGAGGUAGAUGUGGCCAUAUUCUAGUGGCAAGAUUAAGCUAAUAUUCUAUUUGGAUUAGGUGACAGAAGCAUCUAUCAAGUGGCAGAACACUGGACUAGACUGAAGCUCUAAACCAAGUAUCCCACCACUCCAAAGGGUAUUAGGCUUUUGGACUUACCAGAGUCUUGUCUUCUGUUCAUGCAAUUGAAUAUUUCUACUCAAUGCACAUAAAUAGAAUGUCAUUCAGCUCCCCAAUAAAAAAUUUCUAGCAUCCCUUAUAAGAAUUAACAAAUUCUCUAAGGCAGAUCUAGAUGGGCCCAGUUAAAGUAUACUUAUGGUAAUGGCCUCUGGGUAUGAAUUCCAAAUUAGGGUCUUUCAAAUGCUCACUUACUACCCUAGAGUAUGAAUCCCUGAUUAGGAGGUAACUUCAAAUGUUUGAUCUAUCCUAGUUUAUUAUAACCAGCAAAUCACGCUUGGUUCACACUGUCUAUUCUGAAGUAUGUUCAAUUACAACACUUUAAUGGAAGCGUUUUGUUUUUUAAAGAUACAGCUUCUGGGACACAGCUCUUCCCUCUUUCCCUUCUCUUGGGCUUUCUCCAUUAUAGGAAAACAAACAGUUGGUUAGUCGGCGCUUUUUGGCUGGUAGAGCCAAGGGUCUUUGGCACAAAUGGCCUCCGAUGAGCGCCAGGUACAGUCUCAUGUUAUUCAGUUGAUUUAUACCCUUAAGCCCAGUUUAAAACCCUAAUAACUCUCUUUCUCCUCCCUUCAAGUUACCUAGCUCAUUUGCUAGCCCUUGUCAUAUGGCAGCCUCCAAGUACACUACCGGGCAGGCUAUCCCAGGGUCACGGAAUAGAAAGAGUCACAGACUCACAUAUUUGCAAUAAGAUGCUCAUAUUGCACAAUGUAUUAAAUUUAUUUAAAACACAUGGCAAGAUGUAAGGAGAACUAGACAGGCUAGGUUAACACACUUAGGGUAAGGUAAAUAUAAGCCAACUGGGAGGACCACACUGCCUGAUUCCUACUUACACAAUUGUUCAUAUGCCUUGUCUCUUUCUCCUCCACAUGAGCCUCCUCUGCUACUGAUGUGGUUAUAAGGACCCAAAAUGAGGUUUGAAAAAAGAGGCCCAGCAAAUGUAAGGUACUUGGAGCUAAGAUGUGCUCACACUCCACAGAGAUCUGAGGGCAAGUACAGCUGGCUAUAGCUGUAACUUGCCAAACAGCCUGCUGAGCAACUAUAGAUUUUUAUUUGCAUUUUUGGGGUCAAGUACACAUGGGCCCAUAGUGGGUAUAAUGGAUGUUCCUAUUAGGUGCCAAUUUAGGGAUGGCAUAGCUGUCAUCCCAGAAAUGACCAAAUCAUAUGAUUUGAUCUUUCUGUUUCUUCUUUAUCUAAAAGUAUUCAUCUUAUUUGUUCCAUUAUAUAUUCCAUUCCAUUCUUAACACGUCUUUCAGGUUACCCACUACCUAUAUUUAACGUAUACCCACUACCUAUAUUUUGCCCACAUUGCACAAUCUGCUUGCUUCUUCUUUAUCUGCAUGCCUAACACAGCUAGUGAGUUUUGCCUAUAUCACAUGAGCUACUUGCUUACACAGCAAUGUGUGCUUAACACAUCUUAUGAGUUUCAAACAUCCUGUUUAUUUUUCUUGUAUUUUUUGAAUAUUCUCAAUAAUAUAGCCAAUAACCAUCACAGAUAUCCUAAAUGAAAAUGUAGACUAUAAAAUGGUGCAUACAAUGAUUGCAAGUACAUAAGAAUAUGAAUGUACAUGAAUAAUAAUUGGAAGAUAAUACAUAAAAAUAAAAAAAAUAUGCUGGGGUAGUGGGGUCAUGAGUAACUUUUGUUUUCAAAACUUCCUUUGACAUCGUUUGUAUAAUGUGUCCUUUUUUAACUUUUAUUUUAAAUUCAGGGGUAUGUGUGCAGGUUAGUUAUAUAGGCAAACUUGCAUCAUGGGGAGUUGUUGUACAAAAUAUUUCGUCACCCAGGUAUUAAGCCUAGUACCCAUGAGUUAUUUUUCCUGAUCCUCUCCCUCCUCCCACCCUCCAUCCUCUGAUAGGCCCCAGUGUGUGUUGUUCCCUUCUAUGUGUCCAUGUGUUCUCAUCAUUUAACUCCCACUUAUAAGUGAGAACAUGUGGUAUUAGGUUUCCUGUUGCUGCAUUAGUUUGCUAAAGAUAAUAACCUCCAGCUCCAUCCAUGUUUCUUCAAAGGACAUGAUCUUCUUUUUUUUAUGGUUGCAUAGUACUUCAUGGUGUUAUUGUACAACAUUUUCUUUAUCUGGUCUAUCAUUGCCAUUUAGGUUGAUUCCAUGUCUUUGCUAUUGAGAAUAGCGCUGUGAUGGACAUACACAGGCAUGUGUCUCUAUGACAGAAUAUUUUCAGUAACAUUCAUUAUUUGUAAAUAGGCUAAGAUUCCAUAUAAUCUAUAUAUAAUACUCCCUUCUGACUAAGCAUGCAAAUGAGGAGUAUUUAACUGCAAAACCUAUCUCAAGCUUAAGGAAUUUGAAGAAGUAAACUGAACUCUUAAAGAAGAGUUUGGACUCUGAACCAUUUAUUUGUAUCUCAAAGAAAAGG
RNAcentral lists this long non-coding RNA (5085 nucleotides) under Pan troglodytes (chimpanzee). RNAcentral's name for it is "lncRNA (ENSPTRG00000054595.1)". The record is from RNAcentral. Lineage: Eukaryota; Metazoa; Chordata; Mammalia; Primates; Hominidae.